This 498-nucleotide ribosomal RNA is filed under the name uncultured bacterium. RNAcentral describes it as "partial 16S ribosomal RNA". It matches the Rfam family "Bacterial small subunit ribosomal RNA", at positions 30 to 523 of the family's 1533-position model. The record is from RNAcentral.
AUUGAACGCUGGCGGCAUGCCUUACACAUGCAAGUCGAACGGUAACAGGUCUUCGGAUGCUGACGAGUGGCGAACGGGUGAGUAAUACAUCGGAACGUGCCUAGUAGUGGGGGAUAACUACUCGAAAGGGUGGCUAAUACCGCAUGGGAUCUACGGAUGAAAGCAGGGGAUCGCAAGACCUUGUGCUACUAGAGCGGCCGAUGGCAGAUUAGGUAGUUGGUGGGAUAAAAGCUUACCAAGCCGACGAUCUGUAGCUGGUCUGAGAGGACGAUCAACCACACUGGGACUGAGAAACGGCCCAGACUCCUACGGGAGGCAGGAGUGGGGAAUUUUGGACAAUGGGCGAAAGCCUGAUCCAGCAAUGCCGCGUGCAGGAUGAAGGCCUUCGGGUUGUAAACUGCUUUUGUACGGAACGAAAAGCCCCGGGUUAAUACCCUGGGGUCAUGACGGUACCGUAAGAAUAAGCACCGGCUAACUACGUGCCAGCCGCCGCGGUAA